UCAACUGGAGUAAGAUGGCGGAUUUUUUGGUGAACAGGAGCCACUUUGAGCUCUCUUUUUGUUUCAUCUUACUCUACCUAUUUCUUCUGCCUAUUCUCAUCCUUUGCCA
Amphimedon queenslandica is the source of this 109-nucleotide long non-coding RNA. RefSeq lists it as uncharacterized. The transcript has 3 exons. The record is from RefSeq and is a predicted model, not a curated record. Lineage: Eukaryota; Metazoa; Porifera; Demospongiae; Haplosclerida; Niphatidae.